RNAcentral lists this transfer RNA (53 nucleotides) under Cautires sp. UPOL AJ0081. RNAcentral describes it as "partial tRNA-Ser". The record is from RNAcentral. Lineage: Eukaryota; Metazoa; Arthropoda; Insecta; Coleoptera; Lycidae.
UUUUUAAAAAAGCUUCUAACUUUUAACAAAGCAUAUUAAUGUUUAUAUUUCUA